UAGACAGAGGCCUGAUGGUUGGGGCAUCUGACUGUUAAUUAGAGGUUUGUGGGAUCGAGGCCCACCUGUCUAG
This 73-nucleotide transfer RNA is filed under the name Todiramphus sanctus vagans (New Zealand sacred kingfisher). RNAcentral's name for it is "tRNA-Asn". It matches the Rfam family "tRNA". Rfam says of the family: Transfer RNA (tRNA) molecules are approximately 80 nucleotides in length. Their secondary structure includes four short double-helical elements and three loops (D, anti-codon, and T loops). Further hydrogen bonds mediate the characteristic L-shaped molecular structure. tRNAs have two regions of fundamental functional importance: the anti-codon, which is responsible for specific mRNA codon recognition, and the 3' end, to which the tRNAs corresponding amino acid is attached (by aminoacyl-tRNA synthetases). tRNAs cope with the degeneracy of the genetic code in two manners: having more than one tRNA (with a specific anti-codon) for a particular amino acid; and 'wobble' base-pairing, i.e. permitting non-standard base-pairing at the 3rd anti-codon position. The record is from RNAcentral. Lineage: Eukaryota; Metazoa; Chordata; Aves; Coraciiformes; Alcedinidae.